AUUCAGCUGACGAGUCCUAAACAGGACGAACGCUUGUCAUACUGGAU
This 47-nucleotide non-coding RNA is filed under the name Schistosoma margrebowiei. Lineage: Eukaryota; Metazoa; Platyhelminthes; Trematoda; Strigeidida; Schistosomatidae. The record is from RNAcentral.